This 460-nucleotide ribosomal RNA is filed under the name uncultured bacterium. Its description in RNAcentral is "partial 16S ribosomal RNA". It matches the Rfam family "Bacterial small subunit ribosomal RNA", at positions 338 to 795 of the family's 1533-position model. The record is from RNAcentral.
CCUACGGGAGGCAGCAGUGAGGAAUAUUGGUCAAUGGGCGGAAGCCUGAACCAGCCAAGUAGCGUGCAGGAUGACGGCCCUACGGGUUGUAAACUGCUUUUAUACGGGAAUAACGCGCCUUACGUGUAGGGCUUUGCAUGUACCGUCUGAAUAAGGACAGGCUAAUUCCGUGCCAGCAGGCGCGGUAAUACGGAAGGUACGGACGUUAUCCGGAUUUAUUGGGGUUAAAAGGAGCGUAGGCCGCAUGUCAAGCGUGCUGUGAAAUGUCCGGGCUCAACCCGGGCCUUGCAGCGCGAACUGGCGUGCUUGAGUGCGCGGAAAGCAGGCGGAAUUCGUGGUGUAGCGGUGAAAUGCUUAGAUAUGACGAAGAACCCCGAUUGCGAAGGCAGCUUGCUGCAGCGGAACUGACGCUGAUGCUCGAAAGCGUGGGUAUCGAACAGGAUUAGAUACCCCAGUAGUC